CAGUAGCCACGGUAAUACGUAGGGUGCGAGCGUUAAUCGGAACUACUGGGCGUAAAGCGUGCGCAGGCGGUUCGUUAAGACAGAUGUGAAAUCCCCGGGCUUAACCUGGGAACUGCAUUUGUGACUGGCGAGCUAGAGUAUGGCAGAGGGGGGUAGAAUUCCACGUGUAGCAGUGAAAUGCGUAGAGAUGUGGAGGAAUACCGAUGGCGAAGGCAGCCCCCUGGGCCAAUACUGACGCUCAUGCACGAAAGCGUAGGGAGCAAACAGGAUUAGAUACCCCAGUAGUCCCUGUCUCUUAUCC
This 301-nucleotide ribosomal RNA is filed under the name uncultured bacterium. RNAcentral's name for it is "partial 16S ribosomal RNA". It matches the Rfam family "Bacterial small subunit ribosomal RNA", at positions 509 to 809 of the family's 1533-position model. The record is from RNAcentral.